UCAUCCUACGGGGGGCAGCAGUGAGGAAUAUUGGUCAAUGGUCGGGAGACUGAACCAGCCAAGCCGCGUGAGGGAUGAAGGUACAGAGUAUCGUAAACCUCUUUUGUCAGGGAACAAAGGCGGGGACGCGUCCCCGGAUGAGUGUACCUGAAGAAAAAGCAUCGGCUAACUCCGUGCCAGCAGCCGCGGUAAUACGGAGGAUGCGGGCGUUAUCCGGAUUUAUUGGGUUUAAAGGGUGCGUAGGCGGGGUAUCAAGUCAGCGGGAAAAAGGGGGAGCUCAAAUCCAUCCAGCCGUUGAA
RNAcentral lists this ribosomal RNA (299 nucleotides) under uncultured bacterium. RNAcentral's name for it is "partial 16S ribosomal RNA". It matches the Rfam family "Bacterial small subunit ribosomal RNA", at positions 334 to 631 of the family's 1533-position model. The record is from RNAcentral.